RNAcentral lists this ribosomal RNA (691 nucleotides) under uncultured bacterium. RNAcentral describes it as "bacterial SSU rRNA". It matches the Rfam family "Bacterial small subunit ribosomal RNA", at positions 215 to 921 of the family's 1533-position model. The record is from RNAcentral.
UCGCCUAGGGAUUUCUCGAUGUAGGCUCAGGUUGUUGGGGAGGUAAUAGCUCCCCAAGCCGACGACCCUUCGCCGGUCUUCGCGGACGAUCGGCCACAUGGGGACUGAGACAAGGCCCCAACGUUUCUACGGCAGCAGUGUGGAAUCUUGGGCAAUGGGGGCAACCCUGACCCAGCUAUGUCGCGAGGGCGAGAACGGCUGUAAACGGUAUCAGGUCGUAAAGCUCUGUCGGCAGGGGGGAGAAUGACGUACCCUGCGGAAGCUAGCUCCGGCCAACCUCGUGCCAGCAGCCGCGGUAAUACGAGGGGAGCGAGUGUUCUACGGUCAAACUGGGCGUAAAGGGUUCUCCGGCGGAAAUGGGUGUGUAGGGUGGGAGCAUUCCGCCUGUUAAGCGGGAUCGUCCCCUAAACUCCAUUUCAUGAGUUGGAGCGGCGAGGGCGGAAGUCCAGGACGAGCGUUAGCAUGCUUAGACGCCUGGAGGACGGCCAUGGGCGCAGGCCUCCCUCGAGCUCCGACUGACGCUUCGGAACGAAAGCGUGGGGAGCGAUCGGGAUUAGAGACCCCGGUAGUCCACGCCCUGAUCGAUAGGAAGUGGAGAUGCGCGUAAGCGUGUGUCUCCUUGUUAACGCAAAACUUCCUCGCCUGAGAAGUACGGCCGCAAGGUUGAAACUCAAAAGAAUUGACGGGGGCC